Unclassified non-coding RNA from Chrysemys picta bellii (western painted turtle), 169 nucleotides. Lineage: Eukaryota; Metazoa; Chordata; Testudines; Emydidae. The record is from Ensembl.
UUGACAUUACUGGUAACUGUUAUCCGCAGAACAAAUAUAGCACAGAUAGCAGCAAUGCAAGCUUCCCUGCACUGUGCCACUAAUGUUACUAAACCCCAUUCUGGAUUGAACACCUCUAGCAAUUGAGAGCGGUGGUUCAGUCUGCAUGUUCAUUCACUCCUUGGCCUUC